AUGCCAUGAUUAGGACAUCUUCUGAGAAACUCUUUAAAUCUAUCCCAAGCCUCAAACAAGCUCUCAUCUUCAAGUUGAUGAAAAGAGGUGAUCUCAUUUCGCAAUUU
Citrus sinensis (sweet orange) is the source of this 107-nucleotide non-coding RNA. Lineage: Eukaryota; Viridiplantae; Streptophyta; Magnoliopsida; Sapindales; Rutaceae. The record is from Rfam.